RNAcentral lists this non-coding RNA (46 nucleotides) under Schistosoma mattheei. Lineage: Eukaryota; Metazoa; Platyhelminthes; Trematoda; Strigeidida; Schistosomatidae. The record is from RNAcentral.
GCACUGCUGAAGAAUCUCAAACCAGGACGAAACGGCCGUCUAGUGC